RNAcentral lists this ribosomal RNA (408 nucleotides) under Heterotermes tenuior. Its description in RNAcentral is "partial 12S ribosomal RNA". Lineage: Eukaryota; Metazoa; Arthropoda; Insecta; Blattodea; Rhinotermitidae. The record is from RNAcentral.
CCCUAUUAUUUUAGGAUGUUAAUUUUUGUGCUUGAGUAGUAUUAGUUAUGUUCUUGAAACUUAAAGAAUUUGGCGGUAUCUUAUUCUGUUCAGAGGAAUCUGUCUCGUUAUCGAUAGUCCGCGUUGGACCUUACUUAGUUGCUAUGGUUUGUAUACCGCCGUUUAUUGAUUAUGUUUUUAGGGUUUUAAUUUUCUGGUUCCUUUAUUUCGGUUUAUUUCAGGUCAAGGUGCAGCUUGUUUCUAAGUGUAUUGAUGGAUUACAUUGGUCUUUGUUGUUUGGAUUGUUGGUUGGAUUAAUUGACAUGAAAUUGGAUUUGAUUGUAAUGUUUUGUAGAUUGUUUAUAUGAUAUUAGUUCUAAGAUAUGUACACAUCGCCCGUCGCUCUCGUUUUUGUUGAUGAGAUAAGUC